AUUGAACGCUGGCGGCAGGCCUAACACAUGCAAGUCGAACGAGUGGCGGACGGGUGAGUAAUGUCUGGGAAACUGCCUGAUGGAGGGGGAUAACUACUGGAAACGGUAGCUAAUACCGCAUACCAUCAGAUGGGCCCAGAUGGGAUUAGCUUGUUGGGGGGGUAACGGCUCACCAAGGCGACGAGCCCUAGCUGGUCUGAGAGGAUGACCGGCCACACUGGGACUGAGACACGGCCCAGACUCCUACGGGAGGCAGCAGUGGGGAAUAUUCGACAAUGGGCGAAAGCCUGAUGCAGCAAUGCCGCGUGUAUGAAGAAGGCCUUCGGGUUGUAAAGUACUUUCAGCGGGGAGGCGUUACCCGAAGAAGAAGCACCGGCUAACUCCGUGCCAGCAGCCGCGGUAAUAC
RNAcentral lists this ribosomal RNA (406 nucleotides) under uncultured bacterium. Its description in RNAcentral is "partial 16S ribosomal RNA". It matches the Rfam family "Bacterial small subunit ribosomal RNA", at positions 29 to 526 of the family's 1533-position model. The record is from RNAcentral.